Molecule: long non-coding RNA, 760 nt
Filed under: Cricetulus griseus (Chinese hamster)
Lineage: Eukaryota; Metazoa; Chordata; Mammalia; Rodentia; Cricetidae
Description: lncRNA (ENSCGRG00015031022.1)
Source: RNAcentral
ACUAGGUAUCGUGAGCACACCAGCUGGUUGACUUGUGGUCUGUGGGUCAGGCGUUGUAAACGCCCUCAGGGUCAGGCAGUCACAUUGCUUGAAGCUGAAUGGGUGAGGCAACACAGAGAGUGCAAAGAAGGCAAAGUACCACCUCUUCCCCGACCCAGGUCACUUCUGGGUUAUAGCUGAGACUCCGGACAGCAUGCAACCAGCUGGUUAGAGCUUCAGGGAAAACUUGAUGUCUGCAUGUUGCUAUGAAAUGUGAUUCGGUACAUCUGGAGAAAAUUUAUAAUGCUGGCUCAGUCAAGCACUGAACAAAGGAGCCCGAAGUCAGGCGCCCACUUGUCUUCUCGCAGGAUUGCCAUAGACUUUUUCUGUGUGCCCACCAUUCCAGACUGAAGUAGAGAUGGCAGUGGCAGAGACUGGGAAGGCUGCAACGAAAACAGGAAGUUAUUGCACCCUGGGAAUAGUCUGGAAAUGAAGCUUCAAAACUUGCUUCAUGUUCAGUUGUACACAGACUCACUCCCAGGUUGACUCACACGUGUAAAUAUUCCUGACUAUGUCUGCACUGCUUUUAUCUGAUGCUUCCUUCCCAAAAUGCCAAGUGUACAAGAAGGUCUGAGCAGAGUUGGGGCACGCUCAUGUCCUGAUACACUCCUUGUCUUCCUGAAGAUCUAACUUCUGACCCAGAAAGAUGGCUAAGGUGGUGAAGUGUUUGACAUGAAGACUUGGUCUUAAGAACUGGAGCAGGGGAAAAAAGUCGGAUGUG